Molecule: long non-coding RNA, 1491 nt
Filed under: Apteryx haastii (Great spotted kiwi)
Lineage: Eukaryota; Metazoa; Chordata; Aves; Apterygiformes; Apterygidae
Description: lncRNA (ENSAHAG00000014534.1)
Source: RNAcentral
AUGCUGGGGGACCCAUCGCUGCAAAAGUGUCAUCAAAUAUCCGUGGGGCUCCGCCGCGCUCCUGCCCGGGGAGGGUCGACUUCCUCGCCACUCGGAUGUGCGCUGUGUAGUUGGCAGCGACCUGCCUGUUUCAGUCUCAGCGUGGAGGGUGGGUUGGUUUUUUCUUUUUUUUCUUUUUUUUUUUUUUCCUUUUCUCCCCGCUAUUGGUUUUCUUGCUAUCUGAUCCUGAGCGAGCGCUGCAGCUCGGCGCUUCCCUGCUUUUCCCCGGCUCCGAGCCUUUUGACAGGGAAUGAAACACAGACGCCCAGCGAGACAGACUCCAGCUUCUACAAAGCUCCACUCCCUCCUACCGCCUUUGUCCGUGAACAGCAACUAUUCCAACUCUUCCCGUCGGCACAAGUGAACCUCUGCAUCAGCACUUUCCUAAUGGCCGCUUCGCCGGAGCCCUUCGGCCCUUCUUCUUCCUCGCUUCCUUUCCUCCACCUUGAUGGCUUCCGCUUGCUUUUUCUGGCCCGGCCCUGGCUCCCGCAGCCCCGGCUGCGGGAAAGCAACGGCUCUUCCCGGCGCAUCCGUCUCAGCUCCCCCGUGCCAGCUGCUGCCGUGCGGGGCUCUCGGCCCCGCCGUCCAUCACCGUCCUCUCUGGGCGCCUUGCAUGGAAAAUCGAUGGCACUCGCCGCCUCCCCGGAGUCUUUGCUGGGGUUUCGGCUCCUUGCAGGGCCGGGGGCUGCGUGUGCGGCGAGGAGCCGGGGGCAGAGGGAGGGCUGGGAAGUGAAGCCGCUGGUUUUUAUUGCAGGCAGGGAUUUUUUUGUAUUUAUUAUUUUUUUAAAGGCCGAUAGGAGUCCAAGUCUCUUUCUCAGUGAUGAUUAUUGCUUUAAGCCUUUCGGGAGGCUCCGGGUGCCCCCAGGUCGUCCUGCCCUUAUAACAGCGAGGCCUGUUCGGAGAGGCACCGGCCCAGCAAGGAGCAAGGCGAAACCCUCCUCGGCCUUUUCCCCGGCAGUGGGAAAGGGGUGCAGGGGGGGUGCGCGGGGGGGCCACGAGCAGGACGGGACCCUGCAGCCCCCUGCGGUUUCUGCUGGACUUCGCCGCCCUUGGCCUCCCGCACCCCAGUGCCUUAGCGUCCCGCGGCUGCUGCCUGCUCCUUUUGGGAGACUUGCAGGCUCGCUCCAAAAUGCAGCCGGCGGAGCCCCGUCCUCAGCAUCCCGCCGCUCCGCUCAGCCUCACGGAGCUGCCGGCUCAGCCACCAGGCGCGUAAACGCUGGAAAGCCCGUAAAAAAAGGGGCGUCCUGCACCCAGCCCAUGAGGCGGUCGCCUCCCGCUGCGUCCCGUCUCCCCCUCCGUCCCCGUCUCCCUCCCCGCUGCCUCCAACACCUUUCCAACACCUCUGCUACUGGUUUGGGCACUGGUUUGGGAUCAGACCGGGAUGGGAAAUGCCUUGCUUCCCGCCACCAUUCCCAGCGCUCUCCAAAACCCCCAAGCUCCAGAGCAUCGUGA